ACACCCGGCUUUAAGGAACAAAGCCAGGUGCAUCUCAUACAUGCGCCAAGAAGACAACAUAUAUAAUAACAGAGUGUAUAGAGAUAAAUGUCAUAAAACAUCAGAGUAUUUAUUACAUAGCGGAAGACUUAUUACAAAAUAAAAGAUAAAAGUAAAACGAACUAAGGAUCGUUGGCGCCAAUGUCAACUGAGAAACGCCACCUAGAUCAGAUCGAACACCUCGCCUUGUGGCUCCUCCUGAACCACCUGCUCUUCUCCUGUGGGGGGGUGUGAGUCAGCAAGAGUGAGCUCACACAUGAUCAUCGCUCAACAAGUUGUGGGGAAUAAUGUGACAUGAACUCACCAAAGGUGGGAGCUCAUGGAGUGUAAGGCUUAUCAAAGAGAAUGGUUAAAGCUGAGCAUUGCUUUUAAGUAGUUGGUCAAAAUUUUAUUAGCAAUUACUAAGUGUAAGUAAAUACCAAACCUUAAAUAAAGUAAUAGAACAAAUUAAUAAUAAACCCAUGCAUAUGCGAAUGACAAAUUGAAUUUAAGUUCCAUAAUUUAAUCAUCAGAGAGUCCUGAGCUGCUCAUGACCGUGAGCUCGGCUAGUAUACCAGUUUUACACUCUGCAGAGGUUGUACCCUUUACCCACAAGUCAUGCUACCCAUCUGCCAAGGGGUCGCGAAUCCCAUACACCUCUACCUAGGAAGCGCGGCAGGGCAACACUACGAGGCCUUUACAAAGUUCCACUAGCUUCCGAAAACCCGCUACAGUUUAUAGGAAGUUCCAAUGCAGGGUUCCUGGCUGACCGCCAUCGCAGCAAAAUCAACCAGGGACCUCCCUACACUGACCACUCCCCUACUGCCCUUGCCCCUUUCGGGUAAGGUAGUCUUCCACUAGCUUUCCUAAUUAGUCAGCCAAGGGCGUCCCAUUAAACCCUUGUGGUGGCACGUGGUUCUCAAGUUAAGCUCUAUGUUCCAAUUAACAUUAAUGGUCUCAACAUGAACAUAAAUAGAAUAACAAAAAGAAUUGGAACAUAGAGGUAAUAAAUGAUUAUCCCAAAACCAUAUAAAGCAAUAGCAAACUACCCAAGUGAUUCAGGGGUAAACAAGGUAAUGAGAUAAACAAAUCUAGGGUGACCUAUUGGGUCCCAUCAAAAUUAACCUAUGCAUGGAUAAGUGAUAUUAAAGAACAUUAUUGGGUAAAAAGUGGUCAAGGGCACAACUUGCCUGGCACUUGAGAUUCCAGGUACCAACUUGCUUUUCAGAUGACACGCAUCCUCGCGCUAGUCGUAGUAAUACAGACAAACAUGGCAUAGAUAAAAUUAACAUCACACCAAACAUAAUAACAAACUGAAUGAUAAUGAUCUACGCGCUGCUACGAGACUAACGCAACUUGAACGAGUCAAAUCGGAGUUAAAACGAAGGAGUUAUGAAUUUAUGAAGUUUUAAGUGUUGGAUAACAGAUUAAAUAGGAUAUUAAUUUUAAUAUGGCUUUCAUGUUAAAACAGUGCUACCAAGGGAUAAAAAUAAUUAAUACAAAAUUAUGGGAACUAGAAUGGGUUAAUUUGGACCACAUAUGAAUUUUCUAGGAAUAAAAUGAGUUUCUGGAAUUAUUUAUAUACUAGAAAUCAUUUUCUAUAAUUAUUUAUUUAUUUUCACUGCUCCCUGGAUCUCGCGCACAAAAACAGAGAACAGCAGGGUCUAACUCAUAAAAGUUCUUAAGACUCAGUGAACACCGCCAGAGGACGGCGGGUUGAUUUCUUAAAAAGUCGGGGUCUCUUUUACAAAAUCUGCUCAGCGAAGGGGUAGGUUCUAAUCUGGACCGUCCGAUCAAUAAUGUGUGGCGCAGAUUAGAUGUAACUCAAAUGAAACGGUAAGCGCUAUUAGCCGCGGGAUCCGAGAUCCACGGCCACGAUUUAAUGAAGCUAGAUCUAGUCUGAGCCGAGGGAUGGCAGAUCUACGGUGCCUGUUGAUCGCGCGAACGGGUAAGGGAAUACCUAAUCUCGAUCGCCCAUCAUCAGAUCAACGGCCAGUGGCCAUCAUCCACCUUCUGCACGCGGCCACGGCGGAUAGCGGCACCCAGUCACCGCGGCGCGCCCUGGCUAGUCUACUUCCCACCGACCUACGACGUGCGACUGAUCGAGACGCUAGGUGAUAAACAGAGCUAGGACGACGGUGAAGCCAGGCAGGAGGUCUGUACUCACGAUUGGUUCGGUGGCGAGUCUGCCCACGGAGCGGGGUGGCUUCACGGCGGAGGGUGACGGCCGGCGAGCAGUUCCCGCCGUUCUGGUGCCAGUCUCCACGGUCCGAGCGCGCGUACGGAUUCUCCGCGGUCUUCUCACCGGCGAGCGAUUCGUCGCCCCCCCCCCCCGGUCACGCCUCGCAUGAGGUGGCCACUAGCACCAUGAGGGGAAUACGACGAAGCUCCUAGGCCAGCAGUUGGGGUAAGGCCGAUGAUUCAGCCUGGAGCUGGCCACGACGUUCUCUCACCC
This 2473-nucleotide long non-coding RNA is filed under the name Zea mays. RNAcentral describes it as "long non-coding RNA (ZMAY_LNC003301)". The record is from RNAcentral. Lineage: Eukaryota; Viridiplantae; Streptophyta; Magnoliopsida; Poales; Poaceae.